GUGCUCGCUUUGGCAGCACAUAUACCAAGAUUGGAACGAUACAGAGAUUAGCAUGGUCCCUGCGAAAGGAUGACAUGCAAAUUCGUGAAGCGUUCCAUGUUUUU
Molecule: small nuclear RNA, 104 nt
Filed under: Propithecus coquereli (Coquerel's sifaka)
Lineage: Eukaryota; Metazoa; Chordata; Mammalia; Primates; Indriidae
Source: RNAcentral